UGAGUACGAGCGGCUACGGCCGCGAAGUGGAUGAUGUCAAGCUUCCAAGAAAAGCCCUAUACCCGUUAAGGCAUGAUGGCCUGUACCCGAAACCGACACAGGUGGGGUGGUAGAGAAUACCGAGGGGCGCGAGGUAACUCUCUCUAAGGAACUCGGCAAAAUGGCCCCGUAACUUCGGGAGAAGGGGUGCCACCGCGAGGUGGUCGCAGUGAAGAGGCCCAGGCGACUGUUUACCAAAAACACAGGUCUCCGCUAAGUCGCAAGACGAUGUAUGGGGGCUGACGCCUGCCCAGUGCCGGAAGGUUAAGGAAGCUGGUCAGCGCAAGCGAAGCUGGCGACUGAAGCCCCGGUGAACGGCGGCCGUAACAAUAACGGUCCUAAGGUAGCGAAAUUCCUUGUCGGGUAAGUUCCGACCUGCACGAAAGGCGUAACGAUCUGGGCGCUGUCUCGGAGAGAGGCUCGGCGAAAUAGAAUUGUCUGUGAAGAUGCGGACUACGUGCACCCGGACAGAAAGACCCUAUGAAGCUUUACUGUAGCUUGGUAUUGUGCUCGGGCUCGGAAUGCGCAGGAUAGGUGGGAGGCUUUGAUCCAUUGCUUGCGGGUGAUGGUGAGCCACUGGUGAGAUACCACUCUUUCCGAGCUAGAGUUCUAACAGCAACCCGUUAUCCGGGUGCUGGACAGUAUCAGGUGGGCAGUUUGACUGGGGCGGUCGCCUCCUAAAAGGUAACGGAGGCGCGCAAAGGUCUGCUCAGGCUGGUUGGAAAUCAGCCGACGAGUGUAAAAGCAGAAGCAGGCUUGACUGUGAGACCUACAAGUCGAACAGGGAGGAAACUCGGCUUUAGUGAUCCGACGGUUCUGCGUGGAAGGGCCGUCGCUCAACGGAUAAAAGUUACUCUAGGAUAACAGGCUGAUCUCCCCCAAGAGUUCACAUCGACGGGGAGGUUUGGCACCUCGAUGUCGGCUCAUCGCAACCUGGGGCUGAAGUCGGUCCCAAGGGUUGGGCUGUUCGCCCAUUAAAGCGGUACGCGAGCUGGGUUCAGAACGUCGUGAGACAGUUCGGUCCAUAUCCGGUGCACGCGCAGGAAUAUUGAGAGGAUUUCUCCCUAGUACGAGAGGACCGGGAGGAACGCACCUCUGGUGUGCCAGUUAUCGUGCCAACGGUAAACGCUGGGUAGCCAUGUGCGGAGUGGAUAACCGCUGAAAGCAUCUAAGUGGGAAGCCCACCUCAAGAUGAGUAUUCCCAUGGCAUAAGCCAGUAAGGUCACGGGAAGAACACCCGUUGAUAGGCUCUACGUGGAAGCGCAGUAAUGUGUGAAGCGGAGGAGUACUAAUAGACCGAGGGCUUGACC
Molecule: ribosomal RNA, 1349 nt
Filed under: metagenome
Description: bacterial LSU rRNA
Rfam family: Bacterial large subunit ribosomal RNA
Source: RNAcentral